UACGUAGGGUGCAAGCGUUGUCCGGAAUUAUUGGGCGUAAAGAGCUCGUAGGCGGUCUGUCGCGUCUGCUGUGAAAUCUCAAGGCUCAACCUUGAGCUUGCAGUGGGUACGGGGCAGACUAGAGUGUGGUAGGGGGAGACUGGAAUUCCUGGUGUAGCGGUGAAAUGCGCAGAUAUCAGGAGGAAUACCGAUGGCGAAGGCAGGUCUCUGGGCUGACACUGACGCUCAUGCACGAAAGCGUGGGGAGCAAACAGG
This 255-nucleotide ribosomal RNA is filed under the name uncultured bacterium. RNAcentral's name for it is "partial 16S ribosomal RNA". It matches the Rfam family "Bacterial small subunit ribosomal RNA", at positions 524 to 776 of the family's 1533-position model. The record is from RNAcentral.